ACGCCCGUGGCUCAGUUGGGAGAGCGGUGGGACAGUAAUCCACGGUCCCGGGUUCAAGUCCCGACGGUCGCG
Phthorimaea operculella (potato tuberworm) is the source of this 72-nucleotide non-coding RNA. NCBI's taxonomy places the organism in Eukaryota, Metazoa, Arthropoda, Insecta, Lepidoptera, Gelechiidae. The record is from the annotation of a GenBank genome assembly.